AUUGAACGCUGGCGGCAGGCUUAACACAUGCAAGUCGAACGAGUGGCGGACGGGUGAGUAAUGUCUGGGAAACUGCCUGAUGGAGGGGGAUAACUACUGGAAACGGUAGCUAAUACCGCAUACCAUCGGAUGUGCCCAGAUGGGAUUAGCUAGUAGGUGGGGUAACGGCUGACCUAGGCGACGAUCACUAGCUGGUCUGAGAGGAUGACCAGCCACACUGGAACUGAGACACGGUCCAGACUCCUACGGGAGGCAGCAGUGGGGAAUAUGGCACAAUGGGCGCAAUCCUGAUGCAGCCAUGCCGCGUGUAUGAAGAAGGCCUUCGGGUUGUAAAGUGCUUUCAGCGGGGAGGCGUUACCUGCAGAAGAAGCACCGGCUAACUCCGUGCCAGCAGCCGCGGUAAUAC
Molecule: ribosomal RNA, 406 nt
Filed under: uncultured bacterium
Lineage: Bacteria
Description: partial 16S ribosomal RNA
Rfam family: Bacterial small subunit ribosomal RNA
Source: RNAcentral